UCCAACAUCAAAGAAAGUAAAAUGUUAUUAUCAGGAGAGGGAGAAUGUUUAAGUGGUUAGCAGCAGUGUGCUAGCCGAUGGCCCCCUCCAUGAGGCCACCACAGCUCAGCAGAACAUCGUUGUAGCUUCUUCUGGAGAGAAAAACACUUAGAGAGAAAAUAAAGUUAACAGCUGAAAUAGCAGGAAAUAAUACAGUUAAAGAGCAGAUUGUAGAAGAAAGAAACCCCUGGGUUAAACUGGUCUGUCUACUGCAUAAUGCUGAACUCUAACAUGUGUCCUAAGGGAAGGACCUGAUUGGUGUCCAGAACCUGCUGAAGAAGCACCAGGCUCUGCAGGCUGAGAUCACAGGUCAUGAACCUCGCAUCAAGGCUGUCACCCAGAAAGGAGAGACCAUGGUGGAAGAAGGUCACUUCGCUGGUGAGGAAGUGAAGACUAAACUGUGGGAGCUUCAUGGACGUUGGGACACGCUGAAGGCCAAGGCGUCCCAGAGGAGGCAGGACCUGGAGGACUCUCUGCAGGCCCAGCAGUACUUUGCGGAUGCUAAUGAGGCCGAGUCCUGGAUGAGGGAGAAGGAGCCCAUCGUUGGAAGUCCAGACUAAGGGAAAGACGAGGACUUGGCCGAGGCUCUCCUGAAGAAGCACGAGGCCCUGAUGUCGGACCUGUCGGCUUACGGCAGCAGCAUCCAGGCCCUGAAGGAGCAGGCCCAGUCCUGCAGGCAACAAGGUGAUCAGCAGGUGCUUUUGUCCUGCAGGACCUGAAGGCCAACGAGUCCCGCCUGAGGGACAUCAACAAGGUGGCAUCUGAACUGGAGUCAGAAGGUCUGAUGGCUGAGGAGGCUCCUAUGGUUCAGGCUCAGCAACAAGAACAUCUGGGUUCUGCUCCUGGAAAGGAUGAAGCCGACUCUAACACGGCGUCACCCUGGAAGGUGAGUUCAUUCAGCUGAUCAGAGGUCACCUCUGAUGGCCGCAGUCACGGCCGACCGUGCUGACAUCACACAGGAUUUCAGGUGACCCGGCAGGCACCAGGUUUUGGUGAAAGUGGGGACAUGUCAGCUGGUUGCCAUGGCUAGUUAUCUUUAUGCAUCUGUAUGACUGCUGACUGUUGUGUGUUUCCUGUGACCUUUGACCUCAGACCGUACGGUUGGGCGUUCAGACGACGGCUAACUUUAAUUCCAUCAAGGUAAGAGGAAGCUCUUCCCUUCCUGUCUGAGCGAUCCGUCUCCAGGUUUCUUCGUCCGGCGUCCAGCCCGCUGGCGUCCACCUUCAUCUCACCUUCAUCUCAUCUCACUUCAUUUAUAGUGCAAUACUUUCACAUUAUCAUUUUCCCACACUUCUGUAUACCUGUAUUUUGUUGUUUUUCAAUAAAGAAUGACAAAUUAUUUAAGUUUGGUUUUUGUUGCACACAAAUAUAUAUCUGUAAAAAAAUAUCUACAAAGCUAAUGUUUACAUAACAAGUAUGAUUGGGUUUUGCAAUACGGCACUCAAGUUUAUUUUAGUAAGAUUUUCAAACCAAGUAAAGUUAGUAAAGAACACAUUUCUAUUGUCUGCUAAGAAACUGUUGGGAUUUAAAAUGGGCCUGUUGUACAAAUAACUUGUAAAUGAUUAUUCCUCACUUUUGUCUUAACCAAAGAAAUUCCAGUAAUUGAGCAAAAACAUUUAUUUUUAACACUACAUUUUAUAAAACAGGGCGCAAAGUGUCGGCACAUGUAUGUAAGUCGAUGGUCCGCCCCAACCAAACCAAGAGACACAGACGUCAGGGAGGCCAAGGUUGUCUCUGCAGCUCUCUGGGCACCACGCCUCACUCAGCUGUCUCCAAUGAUCCAAAUGGCUAUGGAGAAAAAAUAACAGGUUUGGCCUAGCUGUUUAAAGUACAAAACCAUUCAUGAAGUGGUCAAGACAAGUACUUGGAACUUACACGCUGCGUUGUGUAGCUGACGUUGGAGACACACAGGCCGCCAUGGUGACCUUUUAAUAGAUCUAAGAAAAAAAUGUAAUAAAAGAAUGAAACUUAAAAACUCCCAGACCUCAUGUCAUAUUUACUAAUCAGCUAUGGCUGAUUUGUUUGGAUCACAGUGAGUUACACUAAUUCUAAUAUAUUUUUAUUUCUAUUAUACAUACAUACUUUUUAACUGUUAUUUUCACAUGACUGUUAUCAGGCUCUCUUGUUCUGGUUCUGAUGAUAACUCUGUGUCUUCCAGUAAGUUAUCUUGUGCUUACUUCAUCUGUAUAAUGUCUCUUUACUUUUGGUAAAUUGUACUGAGUCCAGAAUAAAGGCUAGCUGGCUGUACAAGAUACAAACAAGUAUUACGUUUUGGAAAUAUAUGAAACACCGCCAGCAUCUGUUAGAGCCUGUGGCGGGGUGCUGAGGGCCGGCUCCAGCCCAGGAAUGAGCUCUACACGCCGGCCGGGAGGGUUUGAAACACCGCCAUCCUCUCCUCUGCUGGCUGUAAAUUCUGUUAUGGUUACCGGUGCUUGUGUUGCAAUGUGAAACGCUUGGUCUCAGAUUUUGUAAGAAAGAUAAUAAAAUGUCCCCCCAAAAUACGA
Molecule: non-coding RNA, 2543 nt
Organism: Nothobranchius furzeri (turquoise killifish)
Lineage: Eukaryota; Metazoa; Chordata; Actinopteri; Cyprinodontiformes; Nothobranchiidae
Source: RefSeq, a predicted model, not a curated record